ACGGAAGGCAGCAGUGAGGAAUAUUGGUCAAUGGGCGGAAGCCUGAACCAGCCAAGUCGCGUGAAGGAUGAAGGUAUUAUGUAUUGUAAACUUCUUUAGACGCAGAGAAAUAAGGAGGUCGUGACCUCUGAUGCUAGUAUGCGUAGAAUAAGGAUCGGCUAACUCCGUGCCAGCAGCCGCGGUAAUACGGAGGAUCCGAGCGUUAUCCGGAUUUAUUGGGUUUAAAGGGUGCGCAGGCGGCUUUUUAAGUCAGUGGUUAAAUCGUGAGGCUCAACCUCAUUCUGCCAUUGAUACUGGAGAGCUUGAUUGCGGUUGAGGUAGGCGGAAUUCGUCGUGUAGCGGUGAAAUGCAUAGAUAUGACGAAGAACACCGAUUGCGUAGGCAGCUUACCAAGCCGUAAAUGACGCUCAUGCACGAAAGUGCGGGGAUCGAACAGGAUUAGAUACCCUGGUA
Molecule: ribosomal RNA, 453 nt
Filed under: uncultured Porphyromonadaceae bacterium
Lineage: Bacteria; Pseudomonadati; Bacteroidota; Bacteroidia; Bacteroidales; Porphyromonadaceae
Description: partial 16S ribosomal RNA
Rfam family: Bacterial small subunit ribosomal RNA
Source: RNAcentral